Molecule: long non-coding RNA, 260 nt
Organism: Phodopus roborovskii (desert hamster)
Lineage: Eukaryota; Metazoa; Chordata; Mammalia; Rodentia; Cricetidae
Exons: 3
Source: RefSeq, a predicted model, not a curated record
AUGCAGUGACCUAUGAUGAUGUGUAUAUUCACUUCACUCAGGAAGAAUGGGCUUUGCUAAAUCCUUCUCAGAAAUGUCUCUACACAGAUGUGAUGCUGGACACCUACAGGAACCUCACUACUACAGGCUACAUUUGGGAUGACCAUAAUAUGGAAGAUCAUUGGCAAACUUCUAGAAGACAUAGAAGGCAUCUUCAAAGGCUUGAAAAAAUUCACACUGGAGAGAAACCAUAUAGAAGUCUUCAGUAUGGUGAAGUCUUU